GGACGAACGCUGGCGGCGUGCUUAACACAUGCAAGUCGAGCGGUAAGGCCCUUUCGGGGUACGACGAGCGGCGAACGGGUAGGAGUAACAACGUGGGUGGACCUCGCCCUCCAGCUCUGGGAGUAAGCCUCGGGAAACCGGGGUACGUAAUAACUGGAUAUGACUCCAUGACGCAUGUUGUGGGGUGGAAAGACCUUGUGCGGCUGAGGAUGGGCCCGGCCGGCCUAUCAGCUUGUUGGUGGGGUGAUGGCCUACCAAGGCGACGACGGGUAGCCGGCCUGAGAGGGCGACCGGCCACACUGGGACUGAGACACGGCCCAGACUCCUACGGGAGGCAGCAGUGGGGAAUCUUGCGCAAUGGGCGAAAGCCUGACGCAGCGACGCCGCGUGAGGGAUGACGGCC
This 403-nucleotide ribosomal RNA is filed under the name uncultured bacterium. Its description in RNAcentral is "bacterial SSU rRNA". It matches the Rfam family "Bacterial small subunit ribosomal RNA", at positions 27 to 416 of the family's 1533-position model. The record is from RNAcentral.